GAGGGGUGGUUGAACCAGCAGGAACUGCUAACUCUUGCAUCUGAGUUUAGAACCUCAGCCCCCUUA
This 66-nucleotide transfer RNA is filed under the name Onychorhynchus coronatus. RNAcentral describes it as "tRNA-Ser". The record is from RNAcentral. Lineage: Eukaryota; Metazoa; Chordata; Aves; Passeriformes; Tyrannidae.